Molecule: ribosomal RNA, 594 nt
Filed under: uncultured bacterium
Lineage: Bacteria
Description: partial 16S ribosomal RNA
Rfam family: Bacterial small subunit ribosomal RNA
Source: RNAcentral
UGGGGAAUUUUGGACAAUGGGCGAAAGCCUGAUCCAGCAAUGCCGCGUGUGUGAAGAAGGCCUUCGGGUUGUAAAGCACUUUUUGUCCGGAAAGAAAUCCUUGGCUCUAAUACAGUCGGGGGAUGACGGUACCGGAAGAAUAAGCACCGGCUAACUACGUGCCAGCAGCCGCGGUAAUACGUAGGGUGCAAGCGUUAAUCGGAAUUACUGGGCGUAAAGCGUGCGCAGGCGGUUUGCUAAGACCGAUGUGAAAUCCCCGGGCUCAACCUGGGAACUGCAUUGGUGACUGGCAGGCUAGAGUAUGGCAGAGGGGGGUAGAAUUCCACGUGUAGCAGUGAAAAUGCGUAGAGAUGUGGAGGAAUACCGAUGGCGAAGGCAGCCCCCUGGGCCAAAUACUGACGCUCAUGCACGAAAAGCGUGGGGAGCAAAACAGGAUUAGAUACCCUGGUAGUCCCACGCCCUAAAACGAUGUCAACUAGUUGUUGGGGAUUCAUUUCCUUAGUAAACGUAGCUAACGCGUGAAGUUGACCGCCUGGGGAGUACGGUCGCAAGAUUAAAAACUCAAAGGAAUUGACGGGGUCAUAGCUGUUUCCU